AUGUACGGUGAGUCCCCUCCCCCUCCCUUCCCCGUUCAUCUAGCUUCUAGGAGCACUACGCAUGCAUGUGCACCUGUGUGUGUUGGGUUUGAUCCAUGGAGUCCCCGCAAAAGAAGGCUCCUGCAUCCAUGGACGGCAGUGCUGCCGGUGACCCUGUCCCUGGCCAAGAAGACGCCUCGUCCUGAUCUUGUCCGAGGAGUCAGUUCAUGGGCGCUCCUCACCGCCUGCCACAUCGCGCUCUCCUUGGCCAUCGGCACCGUAAUAGCCUACGCACUCUACCACUUCCACGUCCGUUGCAGCCAGUCCUCCUUCUUUCUGCGCUGCGACCAGCUUACGGACGCGGAGGAAGCCAUGGUGAACGCCCUAGGGAUCGGGCUGCUGUGCUGCCUCGUGCUCCAGGCGGCCGCGGCGGUGCUGGCCCUGCGGCUCCCGUGCCGCCGCCGUCGCCGCGCCCUCGCCUACCUCGCGCUCGUGCUCACUAUCGUCGGCCACUUCAUCAUGGCCGCCAUAGCCCAUAUCCUCCUCGUCGCCGACCCAGGAGACCUCUUCUUCCGGAUCUGCUCCACCGGGGGCCUCUUCAUCUACGCAGCGGGAGACAUCAUCAGCUUCUUGGCCCUCCUCCUCGGCAGCGGUGAGGAGUAG
This 642-nucleotide ribosomal RNA is filed under the name Triticum aestivum (bread wheat). Its description in RNAcentral is "partial small subunit ribosomal RNA". The record is from RNAcentral. Lineage: Eukaryota; Viridiplantae; Streptophyta; Magnoliopsida; Poales; Poaceae.